This is a long non-coding RNA of Nomascus leucogenys (northern white-cheeked gibbon), 578 nucleotides long. RefSeq lists it as uncharacterized. Lineage: Eukaryota; Metazoa; Chordata; Mammalia; Primates; Hylobatidae. The transcript has 3 exons. The record is from RefSeq and is a predicted model, not a curated record.
CACUAGAGAAUGUGAUUUUUCCUGAACAACUGCAUACUUCCUACUAUGCCUUUUGGGAAACUACCCAGAUUUCCCACAAUAUGUACCUGAUAUGGAGAGGAAAAAAGCAAACCAUGGUGGUCUAAGCAGCUUAGAUUUGAUAAAAAUAAUAAGAGUGGUUCCUUCAGUUCAUUUUCCAAACCAUUCUGCCAGAACAAGCUGGUUCUUCUGGGAAGACGGAACUGCCUACGGCCAUAUGCACCCAUCUGUUCUUCUCUACAAAAAUGCGUUGGCCUUUUCCACACAGAGCCAGUGGGUGGUGGGGGUGACCACUGCAGGUGGACAGGCCAGAUUGGAAGAGACCCCAUUCUAGAGAGGGUCCUGUCCCAUACCCAGAAGGAAGGAAUGCUGCACAGAGGCCAAGAAUCCAGACAGACAGGCCUUGCUGGGCUUCCCCACUCAGUCUGUUUGUGUUAGACCAUGCCUUCUUUGUCCACUCAUGUUUCUACCAGCCUGACCAUACUUUGCUGAGCCAAAGCAUGAACAUGGACAGUUUGCUCUAUAUCUUUGGGUCUUCAUCCUGAAGGAUCCUGUGUCAC